Molecule: long non-coding RNA, 443 nt
Filed under: Phasianus colchicus (ring-necked pheasant)
Lineage: Eukaryota; Metazoa; Chordata; Aves; Galliformes; Phasianidae
Description: lncRNA (ENSPCLG00000003445.1)
Source: RNAcentral
UUUUGCUUUUUUCUUCCUUAAUUCCUCGGCGGGGUCGGGGCGGUGCGUACGUCCGCGCGUGGCGGCUGCCCGCGGGGGCCGGCGCGGUGGGGGCGGGGGGCGCGGGGUCCCGCGGGCGCGGGGCUCUGCCGCGGCGGCGCGAAGCGGAGCGACGCGGAACGGAACCGGGGGGGAGCGCGGAACCGCGCCUCUCCGCCCGGGACACGCGGUGCCGCCGCCCUGAGCGCAGGUGUCUGAAGUUCUGCUUGCCUUCAAAAGUAGUGCUGAAUUCCCAGGAUGUAAGAAAUACAGUGCAGUGUCACGCAGCAAAUGUGAGCUGAUGGUCACAGUUGGGGCUGAAAUCCUUUAUUAAACAAAACAAAAGUCAAGUGAAGAAGGAAGGUUGGAACCGUUCACAAGAUCUUUCAGUUUAUUGCUCAACCUGUCAUAGAAGUCACCUUCUG